AUGUCUCCAAGAAAACACAAAAACAGAGAAAUAGUGGUAAAGCCCAGCGCUCCUCUUUGUGAUCAAGAGGACAAUAUUCAAAUGCAGAAUAUGUGCUUGGAAGAAAUGCAUGAGAAAAAUCUCAUGAACAAUCACAAUACGCGACACCCGCCCCAGCCAGAGUACAUCUAUUACGUCUGGCAAAGUUUUUUUAAACAACGAGCGGAGAUUAUGUUCCUGAGAGAGGAAUAUGAGAGAAGGACCGCUGAGGUAGAUAGAUUGUUCAGCCAGCUUCUUGAAAAGGAAGAUAUUCAAAAGGAGAAAGAAAUGGAAGUCCUAGACAUGCGCGGAAGGAUCUUUGAGCUCCAAGCAAAGCUUAAUAAAGCACAAGAAAAACCAACAGAAGAAGUCCUCCAACAGAAGAAAAACGAGCAGGACAAGGACAAAAAGAUUCAGGAGCUGCAAGUAAAGCUUGAUGAAGCUUUGCAAAAAAAUGAAGAAAUCCUCCAAGAGAAGAAACAACUGGUCAUAAAACUCCAAGGCACAGAGAUAAAUCACAAAGUGCUGAAAGGAAGGGUUGAGUUUCUUCAAAAGAAAGCGCAACAGACCACGAAACAGGAAGAUACGGAUUGCAAGCUUCAGGACAUGGAAAAACACAACAAAGGCUUGCAAAUAAAGCUUGAUGAAGCGCUGCAAAAAAAUAAAGAACUCCUCCAAGAAAAAGAGCAAAUGGACGUAAAGCAGCGCAAACUCCAAGGCAUGGAGGAAAAGUACAAAGCGCUUCAGGCAAGGCAUGAUAAAACCAUGAACAAGAAUAAAGAGUUGCUUCAAGAAAAAAAGCAACAAGAAAUUAAACAGAAAGAAAUGGACUGCAAGCUUGAAGACGUGGAGGAAAAAUACACAGCACUGAAAAUAAAGCUCGAGAAAACAGUGCAAAGAAAUAAGGAUUUCGUACAAGAGAAAGAACAGCAGGACAUGAAAGACAGAUCUGGAUUGCAAGCUUCAGAGCAUCAAGGAACACAACAAAGGUUUGCAAGUUAUGCUUGA
Molecule: long non-coding RNA, 1026 nt
Filed under: Oreochromis niloticus (Nile tilapia)
Lineage: Eukaryota; Metazoa; Chordata; Actinopteri; Cichliformes; Cichlidae
Description: lncRNA (ENSONIG00000035652.1)
Source: RNAcentral